Molecule: unclassified non-coding RNA, 343 nt
Filed under: soil metagenome
Description: partial contains 5.8S ribosomal RNA, internal transcribed spacer 2, and large subunit ribosomal RNA
Rfam family: 5.8S ribosomal RNA (bases 1-120)
Source: RNAcentral
GAUGAAGAACGUAGCGAAAUGCGAUAAGUAAUGUGAAUUGCAGAAUUCAGUGAAUCAUCGAAUCUUUGAACGCACAUUGCGCCCGCUAGUAUUCUGGCGGGCAUGCCUGUCCGAGCGUCAUUUCAACCCUCAAGCCCCCGGGCUUGGUGUUGGGGAUCGGCGAGCCUCCGCGCCCGCCGUCCCCUAAAUCUAGUGGCGGUCUCGCUGUAGCUUCCUCUGCGUAGUAGCACACCUCGCACUGGGAAACAGCGCGGCCACGCCGUUAAACACCCAACUUCUGAACGUUUGACCUCGGAUCAGGUAGGAAUACCCGCUGAACUUAAGCAUAUCAAUAAGCGGAGGA